CUCUCAACGAUGGAUGCCUCGGCUCGAGAAUCGAUGAAGGACGCAGCGAAGUGCGAUAAGCACUGCGAUUUGCAGAAUUCCGUGAACCAGUAGAAAUCUCAACGCAUGCUGCACAAAGGGGAUUUAUCCUCUUUGUACAUACAUAUCAGUGUCGCUC
RNAcentral lists this ribosomal RNA (157 nucleotides) under Perkinsus sp. QLD2_C3. RNAcentral's name for it is "5.8S ribosomal RNA". It matches the Rfam family "5.8S ribosomal RNA". From Rfam's summary of the family: 5.8S ribosomal RNA (5.8S rRNA) is a component of the large subunit of the eukaryotic ribosome. It is transcribed by RNA polymerase I as part of the 45S precursor that also contains 18S and 28S rRNA. Lineage: Eukaryota; Perkinsozoa; Perkinsida; Perkinsidae. The record is from RNAcentral.